Molecule: long non-coding RNA, 6128 nt
Filed under: Ananas comosus (pineapple)
Lineage: Eukaryota; Viridiplantae; Streptophyta; Magnoliopsida; Poales; Bromeliaceae
Description: long non-coding RNA (ACOM_LNC041371)
Source: RNAcentral
GAUGACUUUGGGAUGGCACUCCCCAACCUUAGGUGAUGCCGAAAACACUUCGAGACGCGCUCUCGUGCUAAUCUUGUCGCCGCUUAAUUUUUGUUGGGUUAGCUUUAACCCUAUAGCACUUCAAAUGGUGAUAUCUUCGCGCUCGAUUUUCGUAUCGACGAACCGUCUUCGCCUACGCGUUUAUAAGCAUAAGAAUUAGGUUUCCGACCCAUCAAAAUAGAUCAAAACCCUUUAAUCCCAAAAACCCCAAAAUCCAACCCUAGGUUUUGCACCCAAGGGAAUCCAUGGUUUCUAGCUUCAAUGUGAGCUAAAUUCAUGUCCUCUAAACUCAUUAGAUUCCAUUUGAACCAAUAAAUCAAACAAAAACUCACAAAACCCUAGAAUCUCACAAUUAGGGUUGAGGCUUACUCUAGGGUUUGCUCCAAAGCAAGCCCUAGCUUGAGGAAGAGGAGGGAGAGAAGCUUCUUCUUCUCCUCCUUGAUCUUCUCCUUCUUCUUCUCUUUCUUUCUCUCCUUUUCUUCUUCUUCUUUUCUUUCUUUCCCUUUUUCGGUUUAGAGAGAGAGAGCUAAGUGAGAGGGAGAGAGAACGGCUAAGAGGGAGUGAGAGAGUGGCUGAGAGAGAGGGGAUAUAACCCUCUAUUGUAACAAAAUUCCAAAAGCCCCCUCAAAAAUCUAUUUUUCCAACUUGACCUGCAGUUUCGGGUCCCUUGUACCGGUACACGGUUUCUUGUACCGGUACAAGGCCUGGCAGACAGCUCAACCCGAGGCUCGGUUUCUCGGUUGCGCAGGGCUUGUACCGGUACAAGACCCCUUUGUACCGGCACAAGGUCUGGCAGCCUCCAACCCGAGAGCCUGCGAUGGUUGUACCGGUACAACCAUCACUCUUGUACCGGUACAACAGCUCCAGAAUGCUGUUUUCACAUCUCUUCGGCUCUAUUUCGCGCCGUUUGAUGUCAAAACCAAUCCAACACCUUUGGAACUCAUUUUAGCUCUUCCAAACCCUUCAAUUGCCCACUUUGGUCCAUUUGGCCAAAGUUAGCCAAAUUCCAUCGAGAUUCAAUAUCUCACAUCUAUCUAGCAUGAAUAUGUAUGAUUUUUUAUUUUACAAUAAAGGCAAUGACAUAGGAGUUCACACAUUUCGGUGAGGUCAAACCCACCAGAUACCCGUCGAAUCCCCUUCGUUUGCGCGAACGAGUAUGCCCACUAGUCGCCUAGCUCCUAACAAAAAUUCUAAGACAGUUAGGGGUUCCGAACGAAUACCCCACAAGAUCCACAAAAUUCAACCCAUAAAUAGGUAGAAAAUUACCUUAAAUUGUGAAGAAUCCAAACUUCAAAUGAGAGCUAGAACACUUCUAAUCCAACUUAUAGGAAGGCAUUAGAACAAACAAUUUAGCCCCUAAGGCCCUAGCAAGAAAAUCUCCAAAAUAAAACCCUAGUUUCCAAAACUAGGUUUCCAUCUCAAAAAGACCCCUAAAAAAGAUGUAGUCUGCAACUGCACUGCGUACCGGUACGCGGGCUGGAGUACCGGUACCCAACAGCUGAGCUCGCAAACCCGAGCCUCUGUCAAUUGGACAGACUGCAGUGUACCGGUACUUGUGCGAUGCAGUACCUAUUCCAGGCUCCAGUAUCGGUACUCGGGCGAUGCAGUACCGGUACUCUGCCUCGCAAAGCUCAAACCAAAGAGUACCCCUCUCGGUUACGCGAUGUGGUUCUGGUACCCCUUCUCUGGUACUGGUAUCCAGCACCCUAAAACCUACACUUUGGAGGUUUUGGUGCUAAGUACCCACUCUUGCUUCUCAAGACGCGAGUAAACAGGUCGGAACAUAGUCAACGACCCUCACAUACUGUCACGCCCCAACCGCACACCCGAAACUAUUUGGUCCGGUUCGAAAGCGGCGGGCGUGAGGCCGAACGGACAGAGUCUCCCCUGUGCGCCUAAGGCUAACCAACGAGAUUGUGCACAACAAGUCCCCAGGAAAAACAACUUGAUUUCAUACACAAUCGAAAGAACGAUAACACAAACAGUACUGUUAAAACCAUCAAGAGCAAACGAUACUAGUAAAAGCAUAUAAGUAUACAAAAGAGAGAAACUUAACUAUUUGAACCAUGAAACUAGAAGUAUUUAAAUACAACUUGCAUUAAACUUCAUUUAAACCUUCAUACAUGUUUUUCCAUAUUUUCCAUAAUGAAAAUACAUCCAAAAACUCUCCAAAACCUCACCCUAUACAACACCUACUCUCAAAAUAUAAAGACAGGGUGGAGCUAAUGCAAGUAGGAAGUAAGCUACCAACUGAUACCGCUAGGGCGCCAAGCCAUCGCCGCGAUCCUCCCGCUCGGUCGGGACACUCGAACUAGUGCUUGCAACAACGGGUGUGAGAAUUACGAAUAGUUCCCAGUGGGUUCGGCCGCCGACUCCACCGAUCUACCCACUAGGUCGAAGCAGGCAUAGAGAGAUAUAUGCAAUAUAUAUAUAAAGCUAAACCAACUAAAAGCAGGUAUGAAAAUUAAGCAAGUAAGGAAAUGUAAGCAAGUAGGUAGAAUCAUGAAUAUCUAGUUAUGCCUCAAUCUGAUAUCAUGCAUGCAUGAACAACAGAUAAAGCUGGGUAGUAAGCUACUAUGAACAACAACAACAAGUAAGCUAAAAUGAACAACCAUAGAGAAGCUACUACAACAACAAAUAAUGAGUGUGACUCAAUAGGUUACCCAAUUUCAUGGUGAACUCGAGGUUCACAAGCAUAACUCAUGUGUAAGUCUCAUAGGGAAAGUCUCACUGAACUACUCCCGAGACCGCCUGCGGACAGUACACAGACCGUCCAGACAGCACACUGACUGUCCCUCUAGUGACCAACCUCCGGAGUGCACAGCUUGCGGGGAGCGACCCCUCCAAGCGCAGACAGGCUAUGUGAGCACGAUCAACUCACGACCAACAGCAUUCUACCCUCUAAGGGUAAUCUCAUCUUAGAAUCAUGGUGUUCUAAUACUCAAUCUCAUAGUGUUUCAGCUACACUAGGGUUCUCAUGUCAUAAGCGAUCAACAAUCAUAUGCCACUUGUCAUAGUUUUCUAUGUUAGAUGCCACUUGCCAUUUUGACUCGUUAUCAACACUAGUUACAUUAUACUAGUUCUUUAACAACAUAAGCAUUAAUCAUCUCAUAUAGGGUCUAGGUUUUCAUCAUAUAGUUUUCAUGCAUACAAUUAGGUUUCCGACCCAUCAAAAUAGAUUAAAACCCUAUAUGCCCAAAAAUCCCAAAAUCCAACCCUAGGUUUAGCACCCACGGAAAAUAAUAGUUUCUAGCUUUAUUGUGAGCUAGAUCCAUACCCUCUAAACUCAUUAGGUUCCAUUUGAACCAUUAAAAACAACAAAAAGCUCCCAAACCCAAGAAAUCACAAGUUAGGGUUGAGGCUUACCUCUAGGGUUUGCUCCAAAGCAAGCCCUAGCUUGAGGAAGAGGAGGGAGAGAAGCUUCUUCUUCUUUUUCUUGAUCUUCUCCUUCCUUUCCUUCUUCUUCUCUUUCUUUCUCUCCUUCUUUUCUUCUUCUUCUUCCAUUUUUCGGUUUAGAGAGAGAGAGAGAGCUAAGUGAGAGGGAGGGAGAGAAGCUAAGAGUGAGAGAGAGGCUGAGAGAGAGAGGUAUACAAAGUCUCUAAUGUAACAAAAUCCCAAAAAGCCGCUCUAUUUUCUAAUUUCCAAAGCAGACCCACUGUUUAGGGUCCAUUGUACCGGUACACGGUUUCUUGUACCGGUAUAAGGCCUGGGUGACAGCCAAACCCGAGCGCUCGGUUUCUCGGUUUCAUAGGGCUUGUACCGGUACAAGGCCCCCUUGUACCGGUACAAGGUCUUGCAGCUCCAACCCGAGAGCUGCGAUGGUUGUACUGGUACAACCAUCACUCUUGUACCUGUACAACAGCUCCAGAAUGCUGUUUUUCUCUUCUCUUCGGCUCUACUUCGCGCCGGUCGAUGUCAAAACCAUUCCAACACCUUUGGAACUCAUUUUUGCUCUUCCAAACUUGUUGGAACCUCGAAUAGAACUUGUCCAAACCGUUCAAUUCCCCACUUUGGUCCAUUUGGCCAAAAUUAGCCAAAUUCCAUCGAGUUUCAAUAUCUCACAUUCUCCACCCCUUAAAAGGAGUUUCGUCCUCGAAACAACUCAACUCAUAAUUCGAACAAAACUCUUACCUCAAUCCUCGAACAAGUGAGGAUGAUUCGCUUUCAUCUCGUCCUCGAGUUCCCAAGUGGCUUCGCGAUCGUCGUGAUUGCUCCACCGAACUUUAACAUAGGGGAUUUCUCGAUUCCUUAGCUUGCGCACCUCCCGAGCUAAAAUCUCCACUGGAAACUCUUCAUAGCUCAUAUCAUCCUGAAGCUCCGGCGGCUCAUAAACUAGAACAUGCUCGGGAUCAUGCAUGUACUUGCAAAGAUUGGAGACGUGGAAGACAUUGUGCACUCCCGCAAGUUUCGGGGGCAAGGCAAGUCGGUACGCCACCAUCCCAAUUCGCUCCAAGAUCUCGUAGGGGCCAAUAUAACGAGGACUUAGCUUUCCUCGCUCCCCAAACCUUUUCACGCCUCGCAUCAGCGAAACCUUCAAAAACACGCGGUCACCCACCGCGAACUCCAAAUCUCUACGACGUUUAUCUGAAUAGCUUUUCUGUCGCGACUGCGCCGUGAGCAACCUUUUGCGAGCAAGUUGGACUUUCUCCUCCGCCUCCCGCAAAACAUCCGGACCAAACUCAACUCGCUCGCCUACAUCACUCCAAUAAAUGGGAGAUCGACACUUCCGCCCGUAGAGAGCCUCGAACGGUGCCAUUCCCACGCUAGCAUGAUAACUGUUGUCAUAGGCGAACUUGUCACGCCCCCGCCCCGGGGCCGCUACCGAUUUGGCACGGUUCGGGCGCGGCAAGCGGACCGCCAAACGGACAGAGUCUCCCCUGUCCGCCCAAGGCUCAAAUGACGAGAUUGUGUACAACAAGUUCCCAGGAAAACACUUGAAUACAUAUACAAUUAUACAACAACUAAAGCACGAACAGUGCUGAACAUUACAAGAGCAAGCGUCACAAGUAGUAGACAUACAAGUGAAACAAAAGAGAGAUACUUAACUAUUCUAUUACAACCAUUCUACUUGAUACAUUUAAUUACAACUUGCAUUCUUUUCCAAAAUAUGAAUAUAAGCGUACAUUCUUCAAAAGAUAACAUUAGUUUACAUUUAUCUCAAAAUACCUCACAUCCUAUACAUCAUCUACUCUCAAUACAUGUAUAGGGUAACUCUAAUGCAAAAUAGGAAAGUAAACUACCAACUAGCAUUAGGGCGCUAAGCCUAUAACGCGAUCUUCUGCCGAUCCGCUCUCGUGUGUACCUGUACCCCAAAACCACACGGGGUGAAAACUAUAUAAAUAUAGUUCCCAGUAGGUUCGGCCGCCGACUUCGCCGAUCUUCCCACUAGGUCCAAGCUGGCACAGAUAGAUAGAUAGAAAGAUAUAUGGAAAUACUACUACUAUAUCUAUUAUGCCAUCAAAUGCAAAGUAUGCAUGGAACAUCAUCUAGCAACAACCUACCAUCAUGCUAGUAUGCCUCUACAGUGAAAUAAAUACAACAACAACAUAGUUAUGCAGUGUACUAUGUCUAAUCAUGGUAUGAAUGCAAUACUCUUAAGCUAUUCAUGUUAUUACCCAAUCUGCUAGGCUACUUUGCCUAAGAUCUCAAAUCUAGUAGGUGAAAAGCUACCUCAUUCUUGUCUCAUUCGAUUCAUGUCUUAAGGGUCCUGAGCAAAGAGCUACCCCGCUCCUCGCCCGACUUAGAUCUCGAAGGUCCGACCCAAUCUCGAAGGUCCUAGGCAAAGAGCUACCCCACUCCUUGCCCGACUCACAUCUCAAAGUCCUAGGCAAAGGCUACCCCGCACUUUGCCCGACUCACAUCUCGACCUACUAGGUACAGGGCUACUCCACUCAAAUCUCAUAGGUGAAGGAAUAGUAUAUCAUGAAUGCAUGAGCAAUAAGUAAGCUACUAUGAACACUAGUAAGCUACUAUGAACAACACAACAACUAUGGAAGCGAGCUAUCAUGAACAACGAUAAUGAGUAUGACUCAAUAGGUAACCAAAUCUCAUGGUGAACUCGGGGUUCACGAACAUAUCUCACGUGUAAG